This 460-nucleotide ribosomal RNA is filed under the name uncultured bacterium. RNAcentral's name for it is "partial 16S ribosomal RNA". It matches the Rfam family "Bacterial small subunit ribosomal RNA", at positions 338 to 795 of the family's 1533-position model. The record is from RNAcentral.
CCUACGGGCGGCAGCAGUGAGGAAUAUUGGUCAAUGGACGAGAGUCUGAACCAGCCAAGUAGCGUGAAGGAUGACUGCCCUAUGGGUUGUAAACUUCUUUUAUAUGGGAAUAAAAUGUUCCACGUGUGGGAUUUUGUAUGUACCAUAUGAAUAAGGAUCGGCUAACUCCGUGCCAGCAGCCGCGGUAAUACGGAGGAUCCGAGCGUUAUCCGGAUUUAUUGGGUGUAAAGGGAGCGUAGGUGGAUUGGUAAGUCAGUUGUGAAAGUUUGCGGCUCAACCGUAAAAUUGCAGUUGAAACUGGCAGGCUUGAGUACAGUAGAGGUAGGCGGAAUUCGUGGUGUAGCGGUGAAAUGCUUAGAUAUCACGAAGAACACCGAUUGCGAAGGCAGCUCACUGGACUGCAACUGACACUGAGGCUCGAAAGUGUGGGUAUCAAACAGGAUUAGAUACCCUGGUAGUC